AGAGUUUGAUCCUGGCUCAGGAUGAACGCUGGCGGCGUGCCUAACACAUGCAAGUCGAACGGAUCCAUACUGAAACCUAGUGAUGUAUGGAUUAGUGGCGGACGGGUGAGUAACGCGUGGAUAACCUGCCGUAUACAGGGGGAUAACACUUAGAAAUAGGUGCUAAUACCGCAUAAGCGCACGGUUCCGCAUGGAACAGUGUGAAAAACUCCGGUGGUAUACGAUGGAUCCGCGUCUGAUUAGCCAGUUGGCGGGGUAACGGCCCACCAAAGCGACGAUCAGUAGCCGGCCUGAGAGGGUGAACGGCCACAUUGGGACUGAGACACGGCCCAAACUCCUACGGGAGGCAGCAGUGGGGAAUAUUGCACAAUGGGGGAAACCCUGAUGCAGCGACGCCGCGUGAGUGAAGAAGUAUUUCGGUACGUAAAGCUCUAUCAGCAGGGAAGAAAAAAAGUCCUUUGGACUUUGGACGGUACCUGACCAAGAAGCCCCGGCUAACUACGUGCCAGCAGCCGCGGUAAUACGUAGGGGGCAAGCGUUAUCCGGAUUUACUGGGUGUAAAGGGAGCGUAGACGGCAGCGCAAGUCUGGAGUGAAAUGCCGGGGCUCAACCCCGGAACUGCUUUGGAAACUGUGCAGCUCGAGUGCAGGAGAGGUAAGCGGAAUUCCUAGUGUAGCGGUGAAAUGCGUAGAUAUUAGGAGGAACACCAGUGGCGAAGGCGGCUUACUGGACUGUAACUGACGUUGAGGCUCGAAAGCGUGGGGAGCAAACAGGAUUAGAUACCCUGGUAGUCCACGCCGUAAACG
This 806-nucleotide ribosomal RNA is filed under the name uncultured bacterium. Its description in RNAcentral is "bacterial SSU rRNA". It matches the Rfam family "Bacterial small subunit ribosomal RNA", at positions 8 to 808 of the family's 1533-position model. The record is from RNAcentral.